CAGCGCCGUGGCCAGAGAGCCGCCACCGAACCGGACCGAAUCUGAAUCUUGCGCUCAUGCCUUCGGUUAGCGGUGGAUUCCUUUGGCCCCAUGGUGGAUCGCUCAGCUGAAUCAUCCACCCCUGCGGCCAUGCUUCCAAUUCGGUCGGAGUCUGAUGAGGCGCAGGUGCAGGUUAUUUCCCAGCAUAUUUGGCCUAGGAUUUGUCCAUGGCGUUCCCAAAACAUCCGUCUUUGAUUUGUUUGCAUCUAUGGAUGGAGCUGAUUAGAUGAAGUUCUAGGUCAAGCACACGUCAAAAGAAAUGAACAUAUCUGUAAUGUGACAUUCUGCUCUUCAGCAUGCCCUAAUUAUUUUAGUUAUAGGAAUAACACAUUAACACUUCUAUUUUUUUUCCUUGGGCAGUUGGGCUCAUGGUUAUUUGGAAAGAUGAAAUGAAUUUCAU
Molecule: long non-coding RNA, 439 nt
Organism: Panicum virgatum (switchgrass)
Lineage: Eukaryota; Viridiplantae; Streptophyta; Magnoliopsida; Poales; Poaceae
Exons: 2
Source: RefSeq, a predicted model, not a curated record